RNAcentral lists this long non-coding RNA (1278 nucleotides) under Homo sapiens (human). RNAcentral describes it as "HSALNT0134467". Lineage: Eukaryota; Metazoa; Chordata; Mammalia; Primates; Hominidae. The record is from RNAcentral.
UGUGACUAAUGCUGCUAUAAGCGUGGGUGUACAAACAGCUAUUUAAGUUUCUGCUUUCAGUUUUUUUGGGAAUAUACCCAGAAACCCAGAAGUGAAACUGCUGGAUCAUAUGUUUCAUUUUUUGAGGAACUCGCAUACCGUUUUCUGUAGCGGCUGCACCAUGUGAACUAAGGUUAAAAUGAAUGUUUCGCCGUUGCUGGACUAGUUGUCCUAGGGUUUUUUCUAGCUCUGCUGGCCUGUGGUUAGAGAAAUGUGAGGAUGAACAACAGGGAAGGGAAGUGGAUUGGAAGGACACGGGCAGUCUUCCAGCUCAGAUGCUGGAAGUGGUGGUGGUGAGGGUGGGGGAAGGGUGUUUAUGAAGUCAUAAUCCAGUCACGGACCUCAGGACAUUUGGGCUGGGAGAGGUAGACCUAGGCCAGUUUGGAGUACUAGGCAAUGGGGGCGGGGGGGUCCCUGCACCUCAAAGAGGCCUGAGAAAGAAGAACCUCACAUGUAUCAGGGAGUCCCAGAGAAAAUGGUGCAAGGAGCAAUGCCCAGUGGCCAGCCAUCCUCAAUGUCAUGGCCCCGGAGGCCAGAACAGUAGAGAAAUUCAAGGUGCGGAGACCGGCUCCCUCACAUGGGCAACCUGGCCCACUGGCUCUUACCAUUCAUAUAUCUGUGAACAUGGCCUUAUUUGGAAAUAGUAUCGUAGCAGAUCUGAUUAUGUAAAGAUGAGGUCCUUUUGGAUUAGAGUGGGCCUCAUAAGACAAGGGGGUUGGGGCGCACAGACACACACCUGCCCUGUGGGCAGGUGAGGAAACUGGAGCAAAUGCCAGCUCCCUGAACAGAACAGAGUGAGCCUGACAGUUGGGCAUCUGUCCAAACCACACGAGCAGGCCCGGCAGGAAAAGUACCUGUCCAGUGGACAAGCGGCCCAUGCAAUCAGGACAGCUGGGAAGAGGCUGAUGCUUUCAGCCACGCUUCAUCUCCUUGUCCUCAUUUGGGCAGAGGUAAAGAAAGAGCACUACUGGCUGCACAUGGUGGCUCACCCAGUAGAUCCUUUAUGAUGUACCUCACUUAAAAGCUACAUUUUAAACGGAAUAGUCAAACUCCAAUAAUGACUGUGGUCUUUUUCCUUUUAGAGACCAGACUGAUCUACUAAUAGUGUAAUUCAAAGAUGGCUACAAAGGCCAAAACUAGCCAAACCCUCCUGGCCCACUGUGACCACUAAGGUUCCACCUACAAGGACCUAGUGAAAGUCUAAUAAAAAGCUGCCUGGCUGGGUGCAGUGGCUCACAC